RNAcentral lists this ribosomal RNA (374 nucleotides) under uncultured organism. RNAcentral's name for it is "bacterial SSU rRNA". It matches the Rfam family "Bacterial small subunit ribosomal RNA", at positions 525 to 896 of the family's 1533-position model. The record is from RNAcentral.
CGGUAGGGACCGAGCGUUGUCCGGAAUCAUUGGGCGUAAAGAGCGCGUAGGCGGCCUUUUAAGUCCUGCGCGAAAUCCUGCGGCUCAACCGCAGACGGUCGUGGGAAACUGGAAGGCUAGAGUGCGGGAGAGGAGAGUGGAAUUCCCGGUGUAGCGGUGAAAUGCGCAGAUAUCGGGAAGAACACCCGUGGCGAAGGCGGCUCUCUGGAACGCAACUGACGCUGAGACGCGAAAGCGUGGGGAGCAAAACAGGAUUAGAUACCCUGGUAGUCCACGCCGUAAACGAUGGACGCUAGGUGUGGGCGGUGUCGACUCCGUCCGUGCCGAAGCUAACGCAUUAAGCGUCCCGCCUGGGGAGUACGGCCGCAAGGCUA